CAGACCCUCCCCUCCCCCUCCUCAGAAAGCCUCCUUAGGGGCUCAAUCCAUUUCUUCUGUCAGGAGAUGGAGGCACAGGGAGAGAAAGAAGUGGGAGAGGAGGAUGCUGGAGAGGCAGGGAGGUGGCACAAAUGAAGGCAGAGGGUCCCAUCACUGACUUUCAAUCAACACAGUGCUGCUUCUGUUCACAAAGUCUCUGAGGUACAUGGAACUUCUCUGAACCUAAGGUUCCUCAGAUUGAUGACUUAUCUCCAUUUUUCAAAUAAGAGGCAGGCCAGCAGAGGGCCAGAAUAUAACUACUGAACAAAAUUCCAUGCAAUCAGAAGACCUACGACUAAUGAAGACAAACAUUCUUAGGGAAUAUGAGAG
This 369-nucleotide long non-coding RNA is filed under the name Equus caballus (horse). RNAcentral describes it as "lncRNA (ENSECAG00000044303.1)". The record is from RNAcentral. Lineage: Eukaryota; Metazoa; Chordata; Mammalia; Perissodactyla; Equidae.